AAGUUGAACGAGAUUAGUUUUAGCAAUAGAACUUUUUUAGUGGCGCACGGGUGCGUAACGCGUAUGCAACCUACCUUAAACAGGGGAAUAGCCUCUCGAAAGAGAGAUUAAUACCGCAUAAUAUAUAUUUAGAGCAUUCUAGAUAUAUUAAACCUACGGGGGUUUAAGAUGGGCAUGCGUGACAUUAGCUAGUUGGUGAGGUAACGGCUCACCAAGGCAACGAUGUCUAGGGGGUCUGAGAGGAUGUCCCCCCACACUGGUACUGAGACACGGACCAGACUCCUACGGGAGGCAGCAGUAGGGAAUAUUGGUCAAUGGAGGCAACUCUGAACCAGCCAUGCCGCGUGCAGGACUAAGGCCCUAUGGGUCGUAAACUGCUUUUGAACGGGAAGAAAUGUAUCUACGUGUAGAUAUUUGACGGUACCGUUAGAAUAAGGAUCGGCUAACUUCGUGCCAGCAGCCGCGGUAAUACGAAGGAUCCAAGCGUUGUCCGGAUUUACUGGGUUUAAAGGGUGCGUAGGCGGACUUAUAAGUCAGUGGUGAAAGCCUUCAGCUUAACUGAAGAACUGCCAUUGAAACUGUAAGUCUCGAGUUCGGUUGAGGUCAUUGGAAUGUAACAUGUAGCGGUGAAAUGCAUAGAUAUGUUACAGAACACCAAUUGCGAAGGCAGAUGACUAAACCGAAACUGACGCUGAGGCACGAAAGCGUGGGGAUCAAACAGGAUUAGAUACCCUGGUAGUCCACGCCCUAAACGUUGAAUACUCGACCUUAGCGAUAUACAGUUAGGGUCCAAGCGAAAGCGUUAAGUAUCCACCUGGAC
RNAcentral lists this ribosomal RNA (820 nucleotides) under uncultured bacterium. RNAcentral describes it as "bacterial SSU rRNA". It matches the Rfam family "Bacterial small subunit ribosomal RNA", at positions 59 to 878 of the family's 1533-position model. The record is from RNAcentral.